GACGAACGCUGGCGGCGUGCUUAACACAUGCAAGUCGAACGGAAAGGCCUGCUUUCCCUUGUGGAUUGCGGGUACUCGAGUGGCGAACGGGUGAGUAACACGUGAGUGAUCUGCCCCCAACUUGGGUAUAAGCCUGGGAAACUGGGUCUAAUUCCCGAUAGGACUGCAGGGUGGUGCCUGUGGUGAAAAACGAUUUUCUAGUGGUUGGGGAUGAGCUCGCGGCCUAUCAGCUUGAUGGUGGGGUAAUGGCCUACCAAGGCGGCGACGGGUAGCCGGCCUGAGAGGGUGGACGGCCACAUUGGGACUGAGAUACGGCCCAGACUCCUACGGGAGGCAGCAGUGGGGAAUAUUGCACAAUGGGCGGAAGCCUGAUGCAGCGACGCCGCGUGGGGGAUGACGGCCUUCGGGUGGUAAACUCCUUUCGACCGCGAGGAAGCCACCUGGUUGGAAGGGUGGUGACGGUAGUGGUAGAAGAAGCACCGGCUAACUACGUG
This 494-nucleotide ribosomal RNA is filed under the name uncultured bacterium. RNAcentral describes it as "partial 16S ribosomal RNA". It matches the Rfam family "Bacterial small subunit ribosomal RNA", at positions 28 to 507 of the family's 1533-position model. The record is from RNAcentral.